GCAAAUAGGUUUUCAAUUUUCACAGCUAAAAAAACAGACUGUUUACAGUGUUGUCUCCCCUCGAAACAUGUAUAUUUAAUAUAAUUUUUAAAAUUAUUUCAAUCAUUCAACCUGUUUUAAUUGAAAGCUAAUUAACUAAUUUUUACAAUCAAAUACAAAAAACAUGAUACUUUUUCACCAAGUAAGUAAAUAAACAGGGGUUUCCCUCCAUGGUUAUUUUU
This 221-nucleotide long non-coding RNA is filed under the name Mytilus galloprovincialis (Mediterranean mussel). The record is from RNAcentral. Lineage: Eukaryota; Metazoa; Mollusca; Bivalvia; Mytilida; Mytilidae.